UGGGGAAUAUUGGACAAUGGGGGCAACCCUGAUCCAGCAAUGCCGCGUGUGUGAAGAAGGUCUUCGGAUUGUAAAGCACUUUCGACGGGGACGAUGACGACGGUACCCGUAGAAGAAGCCCCGGCUAACUUCGUGCCAGCAGCCGCGGUAAUACGAAGGGGGCUAGCGUUGCUCGGAAUGACUGGGCGUAAAGGGCGUGUAGGCGGUUUACACAGUCAGAUGUGAAAUCCCCGGGCUUAACCUGGGAGCUGCAUUUGAUACGUGUAGACUAGAGUGUGAGAGAGGGUUGUGGAAUUCCCAGUGUAGAGGUGAAAUUCGUAGAUCAUUGGGAAGAACACCGGUGGCGAAGGCGGCAACCUGGCUCAUGACUGACGCUGAGGCGCGAAAGCGUGGGGAGCAAACAGGAUUAGAUACCCUGGUAGUCCACGCUGUAAACGAUGUGUGCUAGAUGUUGGGUAACUUUGGU
This 466-nucleotide ribosomal RNA is filed under the name uncultured bacterium. RNAcentral's name for it is "partial 16S ribosomal RNA". It matches the Rfam family "Bacterial small subunit ribosomal RNA", at positions 355 to 837 of the family's 1533-position model. The record is from RNAcentral.